AUGUCAACAACAUUAUUUUGAUGAUUUGAUUUCCUCAAAACAACUCAUCUUAACGAUUAAAUGAUGCAUGUGAUGAUAAUUUUAACAAGUAAAUUAGAGUUAAUUUUUAAGACACAUUUAACCAUUUAUUCAAAAAUUGUAAUCACCAAUUAAUAAUAUGUAAAUUAAGGACAUUUUUGUUCCCUACCAAACAGCCUUUUGAACCUAGUCAUUGUCACUUUUCCCUCACUUUUUAUUCCUUGUAUAUUCAAUAAUAGGUUAACUCUUCUGCCUCAUGUUAAUCUUCUUAUGCAUAAUUUUGACUGUUAAUAAGUUUCUUGUCACCUCGCCAUAAUCAAGUUCAACAUAACACUGAAAUGUUUUUCAACGAUUGACAAACAAUUAACAUAACGUUAGUUGAUUAGCAGAUGAUGAUUUGGAGGCAUACAAUUUGGACAACCAUUCCUACACAAUUACCUUGACGUUGAUUUUAACUCUGUCAACAUGGUUAAAGGUUUACUUUUACCCUGUUUAAUCCUCUUAAUUGUUUCAUUAGAAUCAACACUUUCUGUGCUGCAACUGAAUAACUCUUUGAGAUUAUCUUCUAUAAAUAAGCCAUCAUUUGUUGGAUCAAAUAAGCCGUAUAAGAUUGUUUGCUACUAUUAUGCGGUUGAAGCAUGGUACAGGACAAGUCGAGGAAUGUUCUUACCUGAAGAUAUUGAUGCCUCUAAGUGUACCCAUAUUCAUUAUGCUUACACAGUUUUAAAUAGUGAGACUUUGUUGAUGGAACCAAGUGAUAAAUGGGCUGAAAUUGACAAUCGAUUCUAUGAGCGAGUGAUUGCUUUGAAGGAAUCCAAUCAAGGACUGAAGAUACUUUUAUCCAUUGGAGGCUGGUCAGAACAGUCAGACAAAUUUUCGACUUUAAUAUCUGAACGGUUGAAUCGAAAAGCAUUUAUUGACCAUGCUGUAACUUUCUUGUUACUUCAUGGUUUCGAUGGACUCGAUUUGGCUUGGUUUUAUCCUGUUUGCUGGAAUGGGGAUUGUCGCUCUCAGAAUGUUCACUCUGAAGAUCGGGAAAAUUUUGGCCAUUUUGUAAGGGAAUUGAAGGAUGCCUUCGAUCAAUCCGAAUCACGUCUUCUGGUUACAGCAACAGUGUCUGGUGAUCCAAUGAUAGCAAAGCGUAGCUAUGAUUUUACUGCAUUAAGUCGCUUGGACUAUAUAAAUGUAAUGACAUUUGAUUAUGUCGCUCAUUGGAAUCAAAUGACUGGCCACCAAUCUCCACUAUUUAGCCAACCAGGAUUUCCAGUUGAUCUCAAUGCUAAUUCAAGUCUGCAUCUUUACAUGUCCAGAGGAAUUCCAAGUCGUAAAUUAGUUCUUGGUUUCCCCAGUUUUGCACGUAGCUUCACUCUAGUUGAUUCAAAUGACCAUGGAAUUGGUGCUGCUGUUAAAGGACCAGGAGACAAAGGAGAGUUUACUUUGGCUGAAGGGUUAUUAGCUUUUUAUGAGAUUUGUGAUCGAAUCCAGAAGAAAGGUUGGAAACUUGUUCGAAACUCGGAAAAUGAAUUGUUUUACACUUAUUACAACAACCAAUGGGCCUCAUUUGAUCAUCCAUUUUCAGCUGCUUUAAAAGCCCAGUUUGUUAAACAAUUGAAUCUUGGUGGCAUCAUGAUGUGGGACAUUGAUCGAGAUGAUUUUCAUGGAAACUGUUUUGGAAUUAAAUUUCCCUUACUCACAGCAAUCAAUUCAAUUCUGGUUCACGGUAAAUCUGUAAAAAUGGUUCCAGGACUAAUCUAAUGUAAAUUUCUCGGAAAAGGACGUUUUUCAAAAAAUACAAACCCAAGCAAUAUCAAUGACUUUUACCGAAGGAACAAAAAAAUUGGACUAUUCACACGCAAGGACAAUAACAAAGCAAAGAUUAAUUAUUUAUACAAAGAGCAAAAUUUAAUUCUUGGCAAAUGGUUAAACCACUCAAUUAGUUUAAUAUCAUCUCAUGAUGCUGCUGCUACUUACACUAAUGAUAAUGAGUAUGAUAUUGAACUAUUGAUAUUAAUGCCAGAAUGUUUAGGAAACGUUGUUGGCAAAAAAAGGAGAGGAAAAUAGAAGCAAAAAAUAGGAGAAAAGAUUAAAGACGUUGAGGAUUAAAUUAUUUUCACGCAAGAUUGGAUGAAACAUUUAGCUCAAGAUUCAUACUAAUGAUUGGUUGUGUUGAUGUAUUAACCCAACAGUAAAGUUGAGAAGGGAAGAAGUAAAAAAAGGCUGACAAUUUUGGUUUCCAUCAAAAUUAACAAUUCAAGCCACGAAAAGGUCGUUUCAACAAAAGCCAAGGUAUUUUCAGCAUGUUAUGGUUUCUUUUUCGUCCCUCAACGUUUCUCCCAUUUUUUGCUUGAUAUAAUUUUGUUUCAUUGAUUGUUAUCAUGAUAAUGAUGAGACCAAUCCCAGAAACGGAAUAAUGUUACCUCACCAAUUACUAUUGAUAACGACGAUCAAUCAAAAUAACAUUAAAAAAGAAGAAGAAAAGAGGUAAAAAAAUCAUUUUCGCUCUUUCAAUUUCAUUUUUAUUCCAUUGUCCUUUUGUCAAUGUAAUCUUAGACCAUGAUGAUGAUGAUGAUGAAGUAUCAUAUUGAAUGAUUCAGUUGUAAACUUCAAUAUGCUUUUUCAAUGGCAUUUUUUGGUCCAAGCUUCAAAUCAAAUUAUUGAUGAUAAAGGGAAUCGUAAUCACAUCAAUUUUAAAGAUAAAAUUCAAUAAAUCGAAUUAAAUUAAAUUCGAUUUCAUUUUCAGUUUGAUUUUUUGUUCAUCUUCAAAUACACUGAGAAAAAGAAGGUAAAAUUUCUGGUCUUUUCUUUGCUAAAGCUAUUAUUUUCUGAUGAAACGAGCAAACAACCAGAUUAAUCUAAUCAUGAUAAUCAAUUGAACUUUUCAAUGUGAAUAGCUAAUAUUUUGUUAACCUUUUCCUGUCAGUUUUAAAGUUGAAACCUCAAUCACUUUUAAGGCGAGAUUCUGUUGGUAAACAUUUCAUUGAACACUUAAUUUUACCUCUUUGAUUGGUUAUUGAAGAUGAAAAUGAAUAAAAAUAUUUAUUAUUCUCAAAGGUAAUUCCCAUCUUUUUGUAUCCUACUUAUCAUGAUGAGCCUUUUACCUUCAACUGUUCAAAGUGUGCUAAUAGAUUUCAUGGGAUCAAUUGGUCAAUUCAAUUGGAAUUGUUGAGUAAAGGAGAAAACCAAAUGUCCAAAAUGAUAACUCAAAUGAUAAGGAAAAAGUCAAUCAAGUAAUCUUCAUUAUAAUGGAUAAAAUCAGCCAAAUUCAGAUGAUUCAAUCAUUUCGUUUCAUGAAACAAAAAGCUUGAAUAUCU
This is a non-coding RNA of Tetranychus urticae (two-spotted spider mite), 3329 nucleotides long. NCBI's taxonomy places the organism in Eukaryota, Metazoa, Arthropoda, Arachnida, Trombidiformes, Tetranychidae. The record is from RefSeq and is a predicted model, not a curated record.